Balaenoptera ricei (Rice's whale) is the source of this 686-nucleotide long non-coding RNA. RefSeq lists it as uncharacterized. NCBI's taxonomy places the organism in Eukaryota, Metazoa, Chordata, Mammalia, Artiodactyla, Balaenopteridae. The transcript has 3 exons. The record is from RefSeq and is a predicted model, not a curated record.
UAGCAACUGUAGUGAACAUGGGCUGAACUCCACAGUGGGCUGGACGUGUUGCCCUGGAUCGUCUGGGUGGGAAAAGGAUGGUGGCCCUCACAGUAAACAGGGCCAAGCAAGUGAACUACUGACCUGAUCCCGAGGCACCAAAAUGUCACAACAGCGCCAGAAGCUGGGAGUCAGGGAGGCUCCAGGGCUGACGGGCCCAGUGAGCAGAACAAAGUACGGUCCGCACCAGACCCUGUCACAGACAAUGCCAAGGAACGACCACACAGUUGCAGCCACGGGCAUCACAGCGUGGCCCUGCUGCCGUGUUCACACCGGCACCUGCUGCUCCCGGCUGAGGCCCGGCGGCCCACGUGCACGUCCCCCAGCCUCACGCCGCUGCUGCCACGUGCCCAAUGCUCAUGGCCCGACGGAAAGGAAACACGAAAAAGGGGCAGUUCUGACCUCACGUAAGAAACAUCAGUCAUCCAAGCCUACAACGCUAUUUAUGUCUCAACAAUAUUCUCCACAUAUAAAACAGUGUGCCACGAAAAGAUGCAUUUAAGUAGUAGCUUUAUUUUAGAUAACUGAUGUAAGGGGGGAGGGGACAUGAAUGUGUUGAAAUGGAGUGAUAAUAAAAUAAUUUAACCACAAAAUGAGAUGAGAAAAAAAUGGUAGUUAUACAUCAGUGGAAAAAAUGAGUUACAAGA